GACGAACGCUGGCGGCAGGCUUAACACAUGCAAGUCGAACGCGUGCAGCAAUGCACGAGUGGCGCACGGGUGAGUAACGAGUGGAUAUCUGCCUUUUGGUUCGGAAUAACCCCGGGAAACUGGGGCUAAUACCGGAUGGUUCCUACGGGAUAAAGAUUUAUCGCCAAAAGAUGAGUCCGCGUCCGAUUAGCUAGUUGGUGAGGUAAUGGCUCACCAAGGCGACGAUCGGUAGCUGGUCUGAGAGGACGAUCAGCCACACUGGGACUGAGACACGGCCCAGACUCCUACGGGAGGCAGCAGUGGGGAAUAUUGGACAAUGGGGGCAACCCUGAUCCAGCCAUGCCGCGUGAGUGAUGAAGGCCUUCGGGUUGUAAAGCUCUUUUGGCGGGGACGAUGAUGACGGUACCCGCAGAAUAAGCCCCGGCUAACUUCGUG
Molecule: ribosomal RNA, 435 nt
Filed under: uncultured bacterium
Lineage: Bacteria
Description: partial 16S ribosomal RNA
Rfam family: Bacterial small subunit ribosomal RNA
Source: RNAcentral